UUUCGAGGGACCGAGAACCCCCUUUAUAUCAAGGUUGACCUCGGAUCAGGUAGGAAUACCCGCUGAACUUAA
Molecule: ribosomal RNA, 72 nt
Filed under: Phialophora sp. JS1165
Lineage: Eukaryota; Fungi; Ascomycota; Eurotiomycetes; Chaetothyriales; Herpotrichiellaceae
Description: partial 26S ribosomal RNA
Source: RNAcentral